RNAcentral lists this transfer RNA (76 nucleotides) under compost metagenome. Its description in RNAcentral is "tRNA-Lys". It matches the Rfam family "tRNA". Rfam says of the family: Transfer RNA (tRNA) molecules are approximately 80 nucleotides in length. The record is from RNAcentral.
GGGCUCUGAGCUCAGUUGGUAGAGCAGCGGACUCUUAAUCCGUAGGUCGAGUGUUCGAGUCACUCAGGGCCCACCA